UUUUAUUUCAGAUGAAUCUGUUACACAAGUGGGAAAGCAUUCCAGGACGGAGUGUGUGUCUGGAAGCCCUGUCCGUCAGCAGAUGCCUCCACCACCUGCAUAUGAGUCAACACCACACAGAAAACCAGCCGGUCGCCCAGAAUUUGAUGGGUCUAGUG
Molecule: long non-coding RNA, 158 nt
Organism: Rhinichthys klamathensis goyatoka
Lineage: Eukaryota; Metazoa; Chordata; Actinopteri; Cypriniformes; Leuciscidae
Exons: 3
Source: RefSeq, a predicted model, not a curated record